GCGUGGAUGAUGUGGUUUAAUUCGAUGCAACGCGAAAACCUUACCUACCUUUGACAUGUACGGAACUCGCCAGAGAUGGCUUGGUGCUCGAAAGAGAACCGUAAACACAGGUGCUGCAUGGCUGUCGUCAGCUCGUGUCGUGAGAUGUUGGGUUAAGUCCCGCAACGAGCGCAACCCUUGUCUUUAAUUGCCAGCAUUCAGUUGGGCACUUUAAAGAGACUGCCGGUGUUAAGCCGGAGGAAGGUGGGAUGACGUCAAGUCCUCAUGGCCUUUAUGCCCAGGGCUACACACGUGCUACAAUGGGUGGUACAAAGAGAUGCCAACUCGCGAGAGCGCGCCAAUCUCAGAAAGCCAUCCUCAGUUCGGAUUGGAGUCUGCAACUCGACUCCAUGAAGUUGGAAUCGCUAGUAAUCGCGGAUCAGCACGCCGCGGUGAAUACGUUCCCGGGCCUU
Molecule: ribosomal RNA, 452 nt
Filed under: uncultured Rhodocyclaceae bacterium
Lineage: Bacteria; Pseudomonadati; Pseudomonadota; Betaproteobacteria; Rhodocyclales; Rhodocyclaceae
Description: bacterial SSU rRNA
Rfam family: Bacterial small subunit ribosomal RNA
Source: RNAcentral